UCAGCUUAGUUUUAGAUCUUGAAAAUGAUUCAAAGAAUAAAUACCUAAUGUAGAGAUAAGAGUAAAACAUGAAUAAAAUUUGUUUUUCUCAAUCUUGAUACAACAAAAAUAAUAAAUAAAAAUGAAAAAUAUAUUUUUUAAUAUAAUGAACACUAAAAAUAAACGGAGGGAGUAUUUUGGAAUCCUUCCUAUAAAUAGCACUCCUCUCACUACAAUAAUCUAUCACUCCAUCAUCUACUCUAAUAACACACUUCAAGAAAAAAUGGAAACCACCACCACCUCUGCCGCCGUCACCACCACCGUUAACACCGGCGGUCUUCACUCCGUCAAGGUGAAUCCACGACACCACAUCCUCAACCGCGCAUUUGCACUUAUUUACCUUUUUGCCAUCCUAGUUCUUUUCUAUAACCAUAUACUAAAACUCCUAAAUUCCACAAAUUCCUUUAUAACUUUCUCCAUAGCAUUUUCCAUUUUAAUUUCAGAUUUCAUCUUAGCCUUCAUGUGGACAACUAUUCAAUCUUUUCGUAUGCGUCCACUAACACGUCAACAAUAUCCCCAAAAAAUAACAAAAAACUUUAGUUAUGAUAUUAAUAAUUUUCCAGCACUCGAUAUAUUUAUUUGUACGGCAGAUCCUUAUAAGGAGCCACCGUUAAACGUCGUUAACACGGCGUUAUCAGUUAUGGCCUAUGAUUAUAAUCCGAUCGAAAAAAUAUCGAUUUAUGUAUCGGACGAUGGAGGAUCGGAGCUUACGUUAUUUGCUUUUAUGGAAGCUGCAAAAUUUGCUGCAUAUUGGUUGCCUUUUUGUAGGGAAAAUAAAAUAAUUCAAAGGUCUCCAGACGCAUAUUUCAAUUCUAAUUACACAGAAAAUUCGGAGACAAAGAAAAUCAAGGUAUGCUUUUUUUUUCUCGAAUAUAUAUUACUACUAAACAGAACGUCUAACGUCUAGUGAUUUUUUUAAAUUAAUAAUAGAAAAUUAGUUGAUUUUCAAUAUUACUAAAUCAUGAUUAUAAUGUUUUGAUUUUUCAAAAAUAUCUUAACGUAUAGGUCGGAUAUUCCUUCAAAGAUAUAUUAUUACUAUUUCGAUAUAAUGAUUUAUUUAAGAAUUCGAGCAACAUAGAAACACAAGAUUUUUGGCACGGUUAUUUCUGCAAGCAUGCAUGUGCGAUGUACAUUUAAUUUAUAUUAUAGCCUUCGUUUCAGAUCUGGCUAAGUUUAUUUAUGCGAUAUUUUGGUAAAUUUGUUGUCUAGCAAUUAUUGAUAAAGGGACAUAGAGGUUUGGUACGAUUGAUUUUAUGGUCUAUUAUAAAUAUUAUAUUUAGUUAUAUUAUAUGGUCUUUUCUAUAAGAUGUCGGGUCCCAAUUUAAUAUAUAUGUGGUAGUUUUCACUUUUCGAAAGCUGAUUUGUUUAAUAUUUGAAGUUGAAUUAAAUUUGAUCAAACUAAUAUUAAUUAAAAUUUAUAAGAUAUUCAAAAUAUAUACAAUAAUACUGUAAGUUGCGCAAAAAAUAUAAGUACUUUAUAAAAAUGUUUAUCAAAGUUCACAGAGUUUCAAAAAUUGAAAAGUGACAUAAAUUUAAAAUGAAAGAGUAAUAUGUAACAUAUGAGAUCGUAAAAAAUACAUGAAAUCUUUAUAAAACCAUUUCCCUCUAUUUAAUUAAAUAUAAUUUGUGAUAGGAAAUCAUGAUUCUGGCUAAGGGAAAUUACGAAUAGAAUAUUUGUUUAUCUUACACGAUAUUUCGUAUUUCUAUAUAUUUUAGUUCUUCGAGAUUCAAAUUACGCCGUAUUUUAGUCAAUAUUUUAAAAUAUAAUUAUACAAGAAGAUAAACAACUUGCACUUUGAUUGACUAGUAUCUGGCCUGAGUUAAUUUCAUCAAUUAUCUGAACAUAUUUCAUUAGAUACUUAUUCGUCAUUUUGUUUUUGAAUUCAACCUUUCUGACGUUAUAGCUAAGACAAAAAAAACAGAUAUUUUCUUUAAUUUGUCAUUAUUCAUUUAAAAGUAGCAAAAUAACUAAACUAGUAUAUAUAAAAUGCUCAUAUGUCAUGUUUUUGUUAUAUAAUGUAUUUGACUAAUAAAUCUAGCCAAUAAUAUUGUCACAACUCUUUUAAGAAAAUCUUAUAUUAUUUUUAAAAUGUCAUAAAGCCUUUUACUAUUAUAUACUAGAAUCUUUAUCUUAGGUUAUAAAAGAAAAACAAAUUAUUAUUUUUCCUAGGUAUAUAUAUACAUGAUAUAAUUUUAACAUAAAAAAAUAUAUUUUCACUUAUCUUUCAAUGUGACUCAAGAUAUUAUAUUAUUUAUCUUAUUUCCGAUUGGACUUAAACUUUAUGAAUUUUAUAUUAUAUGUGUAGUUGAUGUAUGAAAACAUGAAGAAAAGAAUAGAAGAAGUGAUUGAGAGGGGAAAAGUGGAUGAAGAUUAUAUUAACAACGAGGAAGAACUUCAAGCUUUUACCAAAUUUUGGACGCCUGAAUUUACUCGUCAUAAUCAUCCUUCUAUUAUUCAGGUAUAUAUAUAUAUAUAUAUCAUAACAGUUUAAUUCACUCGUGAUAUUGUCAUUUUCAACUUAAUUCUAUGACCUUAAAAUAUAUUUCAAUAUUUUGUUAAUAUGAGACUGUCUAAUUUUAAAAUGUGUCACUAUAAAAAGUACAAAAUUACUAAUUAGCUAUUAAUUAAAAGUGCUUAACACAUGUUGCCAAAGAGUCUAAUUUGCGUUUGAUUGUAAACAUGUUACUUAAGAUCAUAUGUUUGGUGAUUAAUUAGGUAACAUCAUAUAUUUAACUUAUCCUUUUAUCAAAUUGGUUGGUGUAGGUUUUGUUAGAAAGUGGCAAAGAUAAAGACAUGACAAGUCAUGGGAUGCCAAAUCUUAUUUAUCUUUCAAGAGAAAAAAACAAGAGUUCCCCUCAUCAUUUUAAAGCAGGUGCCCUCAAUGCAUUGGUAAGUAAAAUCUCAUCAAUUUUAUUUUUUAAAAACAAUUUAUAUUUAUAAAAAAUAUUUUUACUAAUAGUGUAAAUAUCUUUUAAUAAUAUUAAGGAAAAAAGGGCAAAUAUAUCCCUCAACUUGAUUUGAAAUAUAUUCCUCUAUCAUUUAACAAAUGAUACAUAUUUCAACGAUCAGUAAAAAUAUGUAUUUAUCUACUUAGUUUUUGUGGUUUUUUUUACUUUAGUCUAUUAACGAAAACAAUUAAUAUGCAUCGUUUAUUAGUAGCGAAGGUAUAUACGUUCUAAAUUGCAGAGUCAAGGAAUAUAUUUGUCUCUUUUCCAUGUAAUAUUUACACUUGAUGUUGAUAUCUUCGAGUAUAUGCAUCAUUUUUUCAGUGAAUGAUAUAUAUGUUCUAAACAUCGAAGUCAAGGAUUAUAUUUGCCUCUUUUCCCUAAAAUAUUAUCGAAUUGAUUAUUAAUUUCUUCUUGUGAUAGCUUCGAGUAUCGGGAAUAAUGACAAAUGCACCAAUAAUAUUGACACUUGAUUGUGAUAUGUACUCUAAUGAUCCAUCAACACCUCAACGGGCUUUAUGUUACUUCUUGGACCAAACAUUACGGCCCAAUUUAGCCUACGUUCAGUUUCCUCAAACUUUUCAUGGGCUUAAUGAAGCAGAUACUUAUGCAAGUGAGAUAAAAGGCCUGUUUUUUACUAAUCCAAUAGGCAUGGAUGGGCUUAAUGGGCCUAAUUAUGUUGGAACUGGAUGUUUUUUUCGUCGUCGGGCUUUUUUCGGAACUCCAUCUAUGUUCGAGCAUCCCGAAAUUCCAGAACUGUUUCCGGAUCAUGUUGUGAAUAAGCCCAUUAAGGCCCAAGAAAUUUUGCGGCGAGCCUAUUAUGUAGCGAGUUGCAACUAUGAGAGUGGAAGUAAUUGGGGUUCCAAGGUGAGCUUUAGUUUACAUUGCACUACCAACUUUUUUUUAGUGGCAGUUGGUUUGAAUUUGCCAUGUGAUAUUUCUAGUAUACAUGGUAAAUUCGAACUAAUUCCCACAAAAAAGAAUAAUUGCACUGGUUACUUCUUCGUGGCAAUUGGUUCGAACUUUUGAUAUAUAUUAGAUCAUGUUGCCACGAAAAAAUUGCUAGAGCCGAAGACAACAAGUUCAUAAGUCAGUAACUGUGGUGUAUAAUGUAUGUAUAAUCCGUGUUUAAUAUGUAUAUUAUCAGUAUAAUCAGUGUAUACUCUAUGUACACCAGAUAGAAAAAGUAAACAAUGAAUCCGUAGGACUAACAAUUUCAAAAUUAUGCAGAUUGGAUUUAGGUAUGGAUCACUUGUUGAGGAUUACUAUACUGGUUAUAGGCUUCAAUGUGAAGGUUGGAAAUCAGUAUUUUGCAAUCCUAAAAGGCCUGCAUUUUUAGGAGAUAUACCAAUUUCUCUCUAUGAUGUGGUCAGCCAAAACAAGAGAUGGUCUGUGGGCCUUCUUGAAGUUGCUUUCUCAAAAUAUAGCCCAUUAACUUUUGGGGUUCAGUCCAUGGGCCUUGUUAUGGCCCAUUGUUAUGCUCACUAUGCAUUUUGGCCCAUUUGGUCGAUACCACUUACUCUAUAUGCUUUCAUCCCUCAACUUACUCUUCUCAAUGGGGUUACCAUCUUUCCAAAGGUAUGCACCAAUUCAUUUUGGUCCUUUUUAAUAUAUGACUCAACAUAUUUAACGUUCAAUUAAUUAAGUUAUGUGUUUCAGUUCCCUUUGAUGUAGAAAAUACAUUAUAUUAUCGUCAUAUACAAAGCGACACUACAUAUAUAGAGCAUAGCACAUGACUAAUUAAGUGGUGGAACAACUAAUCUUAUGGUAAAUUUGUGGAUAUUGACAAGCAAAUGAAUAGAAGGUGUAAUUGUUUUUCUGAAGGUUUAAUGUUUUUUUUUAUAUUGAUUUCAGGUUUCAGACCCUUGGUUUUUCUUGUAUGUUUUUAUGUUCCUCGGAGCGUAUGGACAAGAUUGCUUGGUUUUUAUGUCUAAUGAAGGGACAUUUAAAAGGUGGUGGAGUGACCAAAGAAUGUGGAUGAUAAGGGGAUUAACAUCUUUCCUAUUUGGAACAAUUGAGUAUUUAACUAAACACUUGGGCAUAUCGACACAAGGGUUCAACGUAACAAGCAAAGUAGUCGAUAAUGACCAAGGUAAAAGGUACCAUCAAGGAAUUUUCGAGUUUGGGGUUGUUUCGCCUAUGUUUGUGAUACUAGCAACAACAUCAAUCAUCAAUUUAGUAGCAUUUCUCAAAUCAUUAGCACAAAUUAUCAAGGGUGAUCAAAAUUUGGAUAGAAUAUUUAUCCAAAUGUUUAUUGCUGGUUUUGUUGUUAUAAAUUGUUUGCCAAUUUAUGAAGCUAUGGUUUUGAGAAAUGAUAAAGGAAGAAUGCCUACAAGGGUCACUAUUUUCUCAACAUUUCUUGCUUGUACUCUCUAUAUGGCAUUUGCUUUUCUUCUAGGAAAUAUGUAAUGGCAAAGUUUAGUGUUUUUUUUUUUAACUUUGAGACCUUUUGUUAUUGUUCUUGUAGUCUUAGUUUAGUUAAGAAGCAAUAUAAGAUUUAGUUGAAAUAUUCAAGAAUAAAAGGAUUAUGUAGAUCUUAUUUAUAUUUUAGUGUAUGUGAAUCAAGUCUGGUAUUUUGGAGAUUAAUUAGUGAUCUUUUUUCAAAUUUUGAUCUUCUAUAUCCACAAACUCUUUUUUGUCUAUAUUCAAACAAAAUUUCAAUUUCAUUCUGACGGUCAUAUUCCUUAUCAAAAUAAAUAAAAAAGGUUUUCAUAUUUAAUGUCAUUCUAAAGUUCGUUCUAUAUAUAAAUAAUAUCGAGAUUAAAAUGAAGUUAUAGUUAGACCCCACAUCCGCUUUCUUGGAAUUAACUGAUAGGCACUUAGUUUUUCAUAGAACAAGCGAAAAAUGACAUGCAAAAUCAAACAAGGCAAAAAGAUGGUGCAUAAAAUCCCCCCACCUCACCAAAAAGUAAAAAAACUUGGUGCUUGCUCGUGACACAUAGGGCUUGCUUUUCGUGAUUAGUGUGAAAUAGAUGUUAGACUCAAUUCAUCAACAAACAGAAGGAUACAACAUCACUCUCGGAAUAAAAGACGACAGAAUUUGACUACCCUAAGCUAGAGGACUUGACGGACCUACUCCUAUCAAAAAGCGAGACUUUACUAAACAUGCAAGAAAGGUGAGAAUAGUCAAUGAAUCGGAAGAGGAAUGUUGAUCGCCUUAGUUUGGUUUGCCUUCUCAUCCAGCUUAAGAUCGGCCAGAUGGGCUUUUGCUUUGUUUACUCGGAGUUCUUUCCGUCUAGUCUGGUUUGCUUCUUUGCGUCACUCGCGGAGUUCUAGUUAGGUGAAUUAUAUCUAUUAUAUCAAGAUUUCUUUUUUGAGUCCACUAAAAGCCCAUUUAUGGCACGUUUAACCCAUUGAAGGGCUUGACUCUUGUGGGAUGGGAUGUGCUCAGCCGCCUCCAACUUUUUCUGUGGUCUUCUAACACAAAAAGAAGAAUAUUUUGGUCUUUGAAGGAAUGAAAAAAAGGAGAGACUGGUAGAGCUCCUCUUUGUCAGCCUUCUAGCUCAUUUUAAAGCGUUGAAGAGAGAGAUAGGACAUUCUAAGCACCACCUCAAAGGACGGACCAAAAACACAAAAUUGACAAUUUAAGUUUUAACUUAUCAUUGAAUCUUUUCAUCAAAUAGUAUAACAGGAAGCUUAUCAUUUUUGAGCAUCCCCUUUACAUCUACAUCACCCUACAAAACAAGAAAACUAUCAGCAAACUUUUCAUGGUUUCUUGAAAAAAACAUGAAAAUUCAAAGCUCAUUGUUCAGACUCUCCAAAAACGCUCUUUUACUCAUGUUACAUCCUUCAAAAAAUAACACUACUAUUUUGUGAGGAUCUAACACACACCAAUCGAUAUUUUUGAAAAGUCUGAGUAGAAAAAGAAAUCAAAAAGAGAAACUAACAUGAAUAAUAACUUAGAUUUGAAUUUCUUGGAAGUAUUACAAGAGGGGAAUUAGAACCAAUAGAAGCUCUUCUUUUGAGAUAAAACAAGUAAAACAAAAGAAACAAGAUUAUAGAGAAAAAAAAUGGAAUUGAAAAAAUGAAAGCUUGAUAAAGUUUAAGUUCAUGUGCUUGAGGAUACAAAUGAGGUGGACUAGGAGAUACAGGUACCCCAUUGAAAAAAAUAAUUAAAUUAGACACUUAAAACUAAGUUUAAUGAAACAAAAAAAAGAAGAAGAAAGAUUAUAAGUUAUAAGCUUAAUAUGUAUAUAGAAACCUUACCUUAUAGCUUUUAUAUACAAAUCAAGAACAAGAAAAUGAAAAAUAAAGUGAAAAAAGUACACGUAAUAAUAAAUAAAAGUUUAUAAUAUAAUGAACAUGUAAAAAUAAACAGAGAUAAUAUUUUGGAAUCCUUUCUAUAAAUAGCACUCCUCUCAUCACAAUAAUCUAUCACUCUAUCAUCUACUCUAAUAACACACUUCAAGCAAAAAUGGAAACCAUCACCACCUCCGCCGCCGUCACCACCACCGUUAACACCGGCGGUCUUCACUCCGUCGAGAUGAAUCCAUGACACCACAUCCUCAACCGCGCAUUUGCACUUAUUUACCUUUUUGCCAUCGUAGUUCUUUUCCAUAACCAUAUACUAAACCUCCUAAAUUCCACAAAUUCCUUUAUAACUUUCUCUAUAUCAUUUUCCAUUUUAAUUUCAGAUUUAAUCUUAGCCUUCAUGUGGACAACCAGUCAACCUUUUCGUAUGCGUCCACUAACACGUCAACAAUAUCCCGAAAAAAUAACAAAAAACUUUAGUAACGAAAUUAAUAAUUUUCCAGCACUCGAUAUAUUUAUUUGUACGGCAGAUCCUUAUAAGGAGCCACCGUUAGACGUCGUUAACACGGCGUUAUCAGUUAUGGCCUACGAUUAUAAUCCGAUCGAAAAAAUAUCGAUUUACGUAUCGGACGAUGGAGGAUCGGAGCUUACGUUAUUUGCUUUUAUGGAAGCUGCAAAAUUUGCUGCAUAUUGGUUGCCUUUUUGUAGGGAAAAUAAAAUAAUUCAAAGGUCUCCAGAUGCAUAUUUCAAUUCUAAUUACACAGAAAAUUCGGAGACAAAGAAAGUCAAGGUAUGUUUUUUUUCUCUCGAAUUUAUAUCACUAAACAAAACGUCUUUAACAUCUAGUGAUUUUUUUAAUUAAUAAUAGAAAAUUAGUUGAUUAUGAUGUUUGGAUUUUUCAAAAAUAUAUGUUGGAUAUUCCUUCAAAAAUAUAUUAUUACUACUUCAAUAUGAUAUUUUUAACAAUUCG
RNAcentral lists this long non-coding RNA (8206 nucleotides) under Solanum tuberosum (potato). Its description in RNAcentral is "long non-coding RNA (STUB_LNC008623)". The record is from RNAcentral. Lineage: Eukaryota; Viridiplantae; Streptophyta; Magnoliopsida; Solanales; Solanaceae.